UUUCUACUCCCCCUGUUUCGAAUUACUUGUCGCAGGUAUGGAUGUAUCUAGAUGUAUUUUAGUUCUAGAUACAUCCAUUUCUGCGACGAGUAAUUUCAAACGAAGGAAAUAAGUU
This is a non-coding RNA of Triticum urartu, 115 nucleotides long. Lineage: Eukaryota; Viridiplantae; Streptophyta; Magnoliopsida; Poales; Poaceae. The record is from Rfam.